This is a long non-coding RNA of Lepidothrix coronata (blue-crowned manakin), 5318 nucleotides long. RefSeq lists it as uncharacterized. NCBI's taxonomy places the organism in Eukaryota, Metazoa, Chordata, Aves, Passeriformes, Pipridae. The transcript has 2 exons. The record is from RefSeq and is a predicted model, not a curated record.
AUAAUGACUAGUAGUUAUUUUCUAAUAAUCCUAGUAUUUCCAUAACCAAGAUGGAUGUUUCUAAGGGAAUGACUACAUGUGUGCUUGCAGCUGUGUUCAAAACAUAGUACAGCCAAAGACUGUCAUGAGUGUAAGUUACACACCCAAAAUUCAGUUCCAAAAACUGUUGGGGCUGCAUUUUAAGACCUCAUUUUAGUUCCUAGGCCUCUUCAUGCAAAUAAAAAUUCUUGAUUUUGCAGGAUUAGUCAAUGGCAAAACCCAGCGGGAAGAUGAUUUUUUCUCCCACUGAAACUGUGGGUGGAGGUCUGCGUUUGCAUCCUUACUCUGUAACUAUUCUCUGUUCCUGGCCAAAGCAGAAAUGGUUAGGAUUGUGACCCUGAGCCUACUUAAAUAAUCGCUUAAUAAAUGUUCUGGUUUUCUCAUUAUAGAUAUGAAUUUCAGAUCUGAGAUUCAGGUGUCUCCAUAGCUCUUUCCUAGGCUCUACAUGAUUAUAUUAGCUCGUGGCUCUAGUCCUGAAAGAGUGUAAUUUCAUCCUCACAUUUCCAAAGAUUGAUUUCAUUAACAAUAAGGGGUCACAUCACAUUGCUAAAAAAAAAAUAGUAACAUACAUCUGAAUUUCCCACCCAUGUGAGCAGUGGAAAAAUGAACAGGAGUGGGAAGGAGUCAUCACAUCAUAUACUUAACUCAUCUAAAUCUGGAUGCUUAAAUUAGGUUCCUCCACCAAAUGGAAUCAGGACGAGUCAUCUCUUUCACUGUUAGGAAAGCCAAGAGAAAUUAGGUUCCUAAUUUAUUUAUCAAAAUAUUUGAUUGUAUUUGAUUAUGUAUCAAAUACCUUAAAAAGGUGCUCUGAAUAUCUCGUCUUCUCCCCAGCCUCUCAACUUCUUAAGCUAUUAACUUACUGAGCCUGAUGAACUUUCAGAAGUACACCAGAACAACUUCUCUUGAGCUCUAGACCCACGGGACACAACAAAGAAACUUGAAGAAAGUCGAGAUGGAAAAAUUUUCAGAAAAAAAAUUCCAGCGCUAAAGAGGAGGAGCAGCAGAUAUGCAUCACAGCCACAACAGUAGCUACUGCUCUCAGCCCACAUGAACUGUGAGAGCCUAAUGAGCAAAAGUGGCCAUUCACUUCAUAAAUAUUUGGGCCAAAGGACUGAAGAAGGUCGUGUUUUGAAGAACUGACUACAGACAAUUGAUCAUGACGGGGGUAACAAGGUAUUUCUAGGAGGCAAAAGUGUGACUCCAGCAGAGCAAGGUUGGCAGGAGCUGUCAUGGGAAGGGCCACUAAGCCUACGGUCCUCACAAGCGGAUGCCCAGCAUGCCUCGUGGGGCCGUAAGGGCUCCACUGCUGUGACAGCCAUUGGCUUCAGCGGCCUAAUUGUUGCAGGAACCUUUAAUCUGAAUCUAGCUGGAUGAAAGCUGCUACACAAAUAACUAGCAAACUUUGAUAACAGUGUAGUUAUCUUCAAAAAUAGAUCAUCUUGGGAACCAAGGUCAAGAUGUUAUUGUAAGAAUUGGAGCCUUUCCUAAAAGUGCUGAGGAAAACAAGAACACAAACUGAAAAACCUAUUGAUUCUUCCAUUUUACUACUGAUGACUGGCUGCAUCAAACUGAUCUGCUGGGAGCCAUCACAGAUAAAUCCACAGUAAAGGAAACACUCUGUGGACCGGCAGCAGAUACAACAGAAACCUUCCCAGAGGAGAAGAGAGAAGAGGUUGCUCUUCCCCACCACCACAUUCCUGGGCAGCAGCCACAUACUGGAGUGGCAAAUCACCCGCCACUGGUGCUCAGUGGUCAGAGUAAGUUUCCUAUCACUUUUGGAUUCAUGUAGUCUUUGAAGCCCUUCACUCAGGUUAACCCACAGGUCUGUACCUCCAAUCUUUCCUCACAUACACAGUCUUGUGAAAGAGGGAACAAUUUUGCCUUUAUGAGUGUUUUUGACCACAGCUUAACUUAACUGACUGCAGUGGAAAUUCUCUAGAUUUGCACCGCUGUGAACUAAACCAGGCUUGGGGGAUCUGUGUGUGUGGGUUAUAGACUCCUUAAUUGCCUGUGGGCAGCAUUGUCCUCUGACUCAGAAAUAUCUUUGCCUUGGGAAAAAAUAAUAUACCCCCCCCAAAAUUCUUAUCUGUCUCUGCUGACAGACACAAUCUCUUUAAUGUUGCCCUGCAUUUGUCUUAACACAAUUUAUUGGACAAACGGCAAAAAAGGCUGUUAGUCAUUUCCACUGAAAUUUGUGAGUGAUAAACACAUCUGUUAUACUCCUGUACAGUAACUGGGCACAUUUUUGAUUAAAUAGUCCCCUAAUUCAAAAGCAUCUCACCUGCUCUCAAUAUGACAGCAAUAAAAACGUAGCUAUGUGCUUUGUUUCUGGCAUAGUUUCAGCUCUUCCACAUUACUUAAAUCGUGAGCAUAUAUUCCAGUUAGCUUAGGCUUCAGGCUUUAAAAGCUCAAAGUGAGUAAUGAAGGGAAAGCAAUCUGAUUAGCUGGUGGAGCUGACUAAAAGGCACCUUCAUUACGAAGGAGCUUAAAAAAGGAAUAAAACUAUAUAAAAUGGAUUAAAGGUAUAAUAAUAACGAUAGUAUCAAACAGCAUAACAACUGAAAUUAAUAUUUAAUAGAUGGUACAGGCAUGUUCAUGGCUUUAUAUUCUUCUGUUUUAAUGAUCUUAACCACAGCUUGAGGUCCUUUGUCUUGUCUCCUUCUACUGACAUCAGCUGGAAGAGACAGAGAUGAAAACAAGGGUAAUUUCCCCAUGGUCAUUGCUUGGCACUAUUUCUGCUUUGCUCAGCCAUGAACUGAAGUUUAAAGGAUGAAGUGCUGUCAGUCAGACUGAUUCUUCCCUCUAACCUGUCUUACCUGGGUUAACCACUCAGCCAGUCACCAAGGAAACGCGUAGCUCCUUUGCCCAUCUUACAGCCACCCCACAGCCUCAUGUUGAGAACAUCACCAUAAUCUCAUUAGGACAUUGAAUUUGCCAUUGAAGCUUGAAUUCCCCUAACAGGAGGGGAGUGGACUAAUGCAAUUAAACAAAUUAGCGUUUUGAGCCACUGCAUGGUAUCUGUCCAAUGCCAUGAGCAAAGAGUAGCUAGUUUUCUUCCUUUCUUAAAAAAAAAAACACAAACAAACAAACAACAAAACCAAGACUCCAGUCCUCUCUCCACGUUAUGUUCAGGGAAAUAGUGCAGUCCCCUGUCAUCUGUAAACAAAUGGGAAGGUAAUUACUCACUUGACCAAAAACUUGAAUUGUUUCCCUUUAUUUUCCCAAGUGCUCCCAUCCCAGUGGUUCUGAUUAUUUUUAUCAGUGUAAUGUUUAUGCUUCUAAAGGUAAAGUGGAUAAACCCAGAACAUUUUGUUCUUCUCUUAUGGUAUGUAACAGUGGUUGCCAGAUAAGAACAAAACUCCUGUUGAUUUCAAAUCUAUUCUGAUAUGAAGUGCUUCUUAAGUGCUAUGAAUAACUAUUUUAAAAUACACCAGAUUUUCAGGAGAUAAUUCCGGCAUAUUCAGUAAUUCUCUAGAAAGGCAGAUUAUUAAAUGCCUAAGGCAGCGCUUUUCUGCCUUUUGUUGUGGGGUUUUGAGGCUAAUCCAGUUCCCUCCUCCCUCCCUCACUCUGCCAAAUAAACAAAGCAGCAAGAGCGAACUGUAGCGAGAAUCAGGAACCAUGAAUCUUUGAAUAAUAUUCUGGCAUGUGAGUUUCCAAAGGCAACAUAUUUCUCUGGGAGUACUGGGGUGAGAGAGAGGGAGAGAGGGAAGGAAGGGAGCAGUGGUACCCUCCUGAGGAUAAUGCUGCCGUCUCCAUUACAGCAUUUCUUCCUGGGGAGGUAGAAGAUGGAAUGACACGGGUAGGAUCUAGAAGCCUCUUAUGCAUUUUGAUUACCAAAGAGCUUAUGCCGCUGGCUGCUUGCUGCCUUCAUCUUUGAAUGGGAAAGGCAGGAAUAACAAGUGUAUUUUAGUAGAUGUUAUUGUGCUACCACUCAUCUGCUCACAAACAAAUCGCAGUCUGCCACCAGGCACUGGAAUCAGAAGGAGUGAGAACAUGGGUUAUUACUAAAUAAGGGCAUUGGUUAUACACUCAACUUUAUGUAAUACAUGGAUCCUACCAUAAGCUGCUUACAAAAUAGAUAUAUAUUAUGUAGGCAGUAUGCAUAGUCCCAAAGGAUAGCGUAAUCUUAGCAGUUUUCCCUGAAAAUGCAAGGGACUUCAAGACUGAGUCAGUACUGAGAAUAUCUGUCACAAACUUGAAAAUAGAAUGUAGUAUAGAUAAUGCUGCAGUUAUUUGAAAAGCGUCACGAAGCUCAGCAUUUCAGUAGUCACAAACUCCCAAAAUGUCAGAGCUGAGCUGGUACUGAAGAGAAGCUGAAAUGUGCUGAAACAGAAAAUGCAGUACUGAGGCUUACAAACAAAAUGAGCUCUGCACUGUGAUAGCAAUAGCCAUACAGUUUGGAUUAAAGUAUUUUGAUAUUUAUGGUAUCAGAUCAGAUGAGGACAAAUUAAAAAAAAAAAAGAAUUAUGUUUUUAAAUACCUUUUUAGCUCCUGAUACCAUUACAGGAUAGAACCAGGGGUUGAAUUAUUUUCCUAUGUAAGUUCUUGCGUAACAUCACUGUAAAGUGGUCCUGGUUUGCCUAUUUAUUUUUUUCCUUUUAUCGUGUUUGGAUUUAAAUGUAGCCCUAAUCCUGCAUAUCCUCUUUGAAAAGCUUAGAUCCAUAAUGUAUUGUGUAGUAUUCUUUAAAACACUUUGCUCUAUAGUGUGGGGUAGCCUUCAGUUAACAAUAUAGAUUUCAAUUCUUAACCUUACAUUUGAUAGUUUUUAUUGCAUUAUAUUCUUCAUUUAAUACAAUGUAAAAUUUCAAAUAUGCAUACUAAUUGAGACAAAUGAUACCCAGCAAAAAUAUUAGCAUUAUUUAAUAUCCCAUAUCAGAUAAAACAUGCAGUAGCAACACAUAUUUAUGGGCAAAUUCACCAAGAUACCAAAGAACAAAAAGUAAAGCAUAUCAUCUGGGAAUACUGAGUUUACAGCUUAUAUUUUCCUAUGAAUUUUCCCCAAUAGUUUAUGUUUUCCUCUGUUCAGAGGAACAUUACCAAGCCUUUGAGACAAAGACUGAGAAUCUGACCUCUAACUUUGGGGCUGAUCCCUGAGGUUGCAGGACUGUUGUGAUGGUACAAAUAUUAUAUGAAAUGAGGGAAUUCCUAGUCUAUUCCUAAUUUUGCAUCAAACUAGUCAGUACAUAUUCUUGAAAAUUCUUCAAGGGCAAACACCAUUAAUGUGCCAUUUUUGAAAAAAAAAAAAAAAUAAAAAAGAGAUUGAAGCCAUAUUUUUGUAU